GACGAACGCUGGCGGCGUGCUUAACACAUGCAAGUCGAGCGGUAAGGCCCUUUCGGGGGUACGACGAGCGGCGAACGGGUGAGUAACACGUGGGUGACCUGCCCUCAGCUCUGGGAUAAGCCUGGGAAACCGGGUCUAAUACCGGAUAUGACUCCAUGACGCAUGUUGUGGGGUGGAAAGCCUUGUGCGGCUGAGGAUGGGCCCGCGGCCUAUCAGCUUGUUGGUGGGGUGANGGCCUACCAAGGCGACGACGGGUAGCCGGCCUGAGAGGGCGACCGGCCACACUGGGACUGGGACACGGCCCAGACUCCUACGGGAGGCAGCAGUGGGGAAUCUUGCGCAAUGGGCGAAAGCCUGACGCAGCGACGCGCGUGA
Molecule: ribosomal RNA, 375 nt
Filed under: uncultured bacterium
Lineage: Bacteria
Description: bacterial SSU rRNA
Rfam family: Bacterial small subunit ribosomal RNA
Source: RNAcentral